CACUUGUCAUUAAAUAAUUGGA
RNAcentral lists this non-coding RNA (22 nucleotides) under Arabidopsis thaliana (thale cress). The record is from RNAcentral. Lineage: Eukaryota; Viridiplantae; Streptophyta; Magnoliopsida; Brassicales; Brassicaceae.